Molecule: transfer RNA, 72 nt
Filed under: Marmota monax (woodchuck)
Lineage: Eukaryota; Metazoa; Chordata; Mammalia; Rodentia; Sciuridae
Description: tRNA.Thr
Source: RNAcentral
GCUGUAGCUCAGUGGUAGAGUGCUCAGUGGUAGAACAUGGGGGAGGUCCUGAGUUCAAUCCCCAGUACUGCA